This 6261-nucleotide long non-coding RNA is filed under the name Gossypium barbadense (sea-island cotton). RNAcentral describes it as "long non-coding RNA (GBAR_LNC006163)". Lineage: Eukaryota; Viridiplantae; Streptophyta; Magnoliopsida; Malvales; Malvaceae. The record is from RNAcentral.
UGGGAAUCAUAUACGGGCUCAUUAAUGGAGAAGCUGGAGAGGUUGCAAACUAGCCUGAAGAAAUGGGACUGCUCAAUUAGAAAAGGCAAAGCGAGUCUUAGAAAGAAAUUAACGAAUGAGUUAGAAUUGCUGAUGAAUAGAGGAAGGGAUGAUGAAACGAUGGAAAAAAUAAUCGAUGCUAAGAUCUAUCUUGUACAAGCCCAAUUUUGGGCCCAAAACCCUCAAACCCAAACUAAACAAAUAACUACCCAUAAACCCAACAGACCUAAAGCCCACUAAAGACCCAAAACAAAUAACCUAGCCCAAUACAUUAAAGAAAAAUAAAGGAAAACCUAAAACCCUAACCGUUCAGCACAUGCUCCCCAUCCCAUCCACCGUCUUUGCUGCAGCACCGCCCCAUCAAGUCCACCGCCGCAAGCACCUGCGAUGCAUUAACAAGACAAGACAGAAAACAAGAAGCAAGUUGUAGAAAAAACGCCUAUAAAAAGCUGAAUCCAUUUGUAAAAUUCGGCAUUAGUGAAAUAAGAACAACAUUUUGGUUUAAAAUACAGAACACAAAAACAGAUCCAAAGAUAAGCAUAAAGUCGCAGCGAAAAUAGAGAAGGCAGUCCAAAGAUUUCGAGCCGAAAGUUUAUAUCUUCUUUUCAUUUUUCCUUAUUUCGGACCCAUUCAUACAUAUCUUUCUCUAUUUUAUAUUAAAAAAAAAACAGCAUACACAAAUAUAUAAAAAAAAAUAAAAAAUACCCUUUUUUGGAUUUCCACGGUGGCCGGCGACGGUGGCGCACGACGUUUCGACGACCGGCCGAUAACCGGCCCCCCCUGGCUGGGAAUCGCCCCUCUCCCCUCUCUCUCCCUUUUUUUUUCUCCUCAGCAGCUAAAAUGAAAUUUUUAAAAAUUUUCAGGCUUUUAUAGCCUACCAAAACAGCACCGUUUUGGUGCCCAGUCUAAAACGCAGAAACGACGCCGUUUCAGGCAAUGACCCGAGGACCCGACCCGCCUAUGCCCAAGGUCCGCGUGUUUUUGGACUGAGGGGUUACUUGCGCCCUCAGUCCUUCCGCUUUUCCAAGGUUUUACAAUUGAGUCUUAUUUAAUUUUAAUUUGGCCCUAAAAUUUACUUCGUUUUCAAUUUGGUACCUUUGCGAACUGCGCCGUUUUAGUAGAUUGGGAUAUUUACUCCUUUGGUCCAUCCUGGUUGCUCGCGUGUUCAAAUUAAUCCCCUUUUUCCUUCAUUUAUUUGAAAUUCGCCUCAAAAUUCCACUGUUAAUUCAAUUUCAUCCCUUUUUUUUUUACUUUUCCUCAUUAUUCUAAUUUAAUUUUAAUAUUAUUUAUAAUAUCAUAUUUUAUUAUUGUUGUAUUUUUAUUAAUAGUUCAUUAUUAUCAUUUUAUUAUAUAUAUAUGAUAUAAAGUAUUAUUAAUAGUUUCAAUAUUAUUCUUAUUAUCGCAUAUGUAUGUUAAUAUUAUAUUUUGUCUAUAUUUUUAUUUUAUAUAGGUAUAUAUAUGUAUAUUCCUCCUUUUUAAUACCAUGUAUAUAUUUUAAUAUAUUAUAUGUAUGUUUUGUUUUGUAUACUAUGUAUAUAUUACGUAUAUGCCUUUAAUAUUAUUAGGUAUUUAUAUAUAUAUUUAUAUAAUAUUAUUAAUAAUUGUUUUUUCACAUUACUACCAUUUCUAAUAUAUAUAUGUAUGUAUCGUAUAUGCCUUUAUAAAUAGUAUGCAUAUAUCGCUCGUACUAUUAGUUAUAUGUAUAUCUAUUUUCAAUGUAUGUUUAUGUAAUGUUUUUUAUAUUAUCAUUAUCUUUGUAUUGUUACCAUCGUUAUAAUAUCUUUCAUUCACUAUUACAUUAUUGCUUUCAUCAUUAUUAUUAUUACUAACAUGUAUAUAUAUAUACUACAUAUUUUUAUUAUAUUACGUAUACAUUUUUAUAUGUACACUACGCAUAUGCAUUUUUAAAUAUUGUAUUAUUAUUAUAUACAUAUAUACUUUUCCCAUAUAUUUCUUAUUACUUCAAUUAUUAUGUAUGUACCUCUUAAUACAUUAUGUAUAUACUACUGUCGAUAUCAUUGUCAUUUUAUUUUACCAUUUUUUUGUUACAUUUUUCUAUUUAUUUGCUUGCGUAUUCAAUUACUUCAUUUUUCUCAAGUUCGUGUUUACAUUCACAGAUUUCUAACCAUUAUCUUUGACAUAGUCACACCUAUUAUUAUGUUCUUAUAAGUGCUAAUACCAUAUUAUGCUUUUAUGUCUUACAAUAAAUCGCGUUACUUUUUACUCAAUAUAUUAAAACAAUUCUUUCAUAAAAGCAAAAUCCGUUAUUAAGUAAUUCAAAAUAAUCGGGCCUUAACUUACUGAAUUUCGACUUUUCUCAUUUAACCUAAAUAAUAAAAUAUUCUUUUAAAAUCACGAUACAAAUCUUAAAAAUGCUUAUUUUCGAAGAUAUAAAACGUGUUACCCUAACUUACGAGAUAUGACACUUCAAAACUUUAAAACAAGAUCUUUUACAAGUAAAAUCAAUGUUAGAUAUUCGAGAAAACGUCUCAACUUACUGGAUCUCGAUCUUCGUUCCCUCUAAUUAACUAAAUAACCUUUUAAAAAAGGUUCGACAUACCGUUUUAAAUUCUUUCAAAUUUUCAAUCCUUGACACUAAGACACUAAUUAAUCAACUAGGUACCAAUUUUAAACGUAUCGACGUUACUAAUCCUUCCUCGUGCGUGACCAACUCCCAAACCUAUUUUCUUAAUUUACGUAGAGCAAAAUUAUUUUUUAAAUAAAUAAAAUUAUUUAUUAAAAAACUACUUUAACGAGAUGACCACAUCACACCUAGUCGAAAAGGAUCAAUCGUGACUACCGGUUUUUGUGUUCAUCAUUUUUCUAAAAAGACUUCUUUAUAUGGAAAUUGACAAACAUAAAAUGUAUUGAGAACAAAUGGCAAGAGUAAAUUGGCUAAAAUUUGGGUACAAAAAUUUUGUAUUUUUUCAUAAGUUCACCUCAGCUCGAAAACGAAGAAACAUAAUCUCCAUGUUGGAGCUUAGAAAUUAGCGAGGCUGCUACAAUAUUUUUUCAAAGGUUGUUUACGUCAAACAUAAUUGGCGAUCUGUCUCACUUGCUAAUGGGUAUUAAAAAGAGUUUUUCUUAUGAAUUAAAUACUAAACUUUCGUCACCGUUCAAUGCAAAAGAAAUUAAGACAGCUUUACAAGGUAUGGAGUCUACUAAAGCACCAGGUCCCGAUGGUUUUCCAGCGUUAUUUUUUCGGAGGUACUGGCACAUUGCUGGAAAAGACGUUAAAAAUUUUUGUUUGGAAUUUCAAAUUCUGACCAGAAAUGUGAAUUUUUCAAACAAACGUACAUUGCGCUUAUUCCAAAAAGUCCAAAUCCCAGAACACUAGUUAAUUUUAGACCUAUAAGCUUAUGUACGGUUAUCUACAAAUUUGUGGCAAAAGCAAUAACAAAUUGUCUUCAAGAUGUUAUUGGGUGAUGUAUUUAUCAGGCACAAAGUGCUUUCAUUCUCGGGAGAUUAUUUAGGAUAAUGUUCUUCUAGCUUAUGAAAUCCUACAUAGUUUUUGCCAGAAACGCACGGGUAAUAGGGAUAUAUGGCAGUGAAACUUAAUAUUAGGAAAGCUUAUGACAGUCGAAUAGGGUUUUCUUCAGGCCAUAAUGUUACAGAUGGGAUUCACAAGAGACUGGGUGGCACUUGUUAUGAAGUGCAUUACUACAACCUCGUAUGCAGUAAAUAUUAACGGAAGUAGGGCAAGAAUUUUUUAACCAACUAGGGGGCUUCGACAAGGUGAUCCUCUUAGCCCUUUUCUUUUUCUUAUGUGCAGUGAGGGUCUCUCAUUAUUGAUGAGAUUGGCAAUGGGGGAAGGGCUAUUAAAAGGAAUAAAGACUUGUAGAAGAGGCCUAGAGAUUUCCCACCUUUUUGCAGAUGAUUGCAUUCUGUUCGACGAAGCAACAACAAGGAAAGCAAUGAUGAUCAAAGAAAUAUUGAAGGAAUAUAAAAGCUGUUCAGGCCAAUGUGGAAAUUUUGAAAAAUCAACAGUAUUUUAUAGUUCGAUUUCAAAAGGAGACAUGAAGAACGAAAUUUCAGAGUUCCUAGGAGUGAGGGUUUCAACAAACUUGGAGAAAUACUUCGGGCUCCCUAGCAUGGUUGGCAGAAGAAAGGAGUCUUUUCUAAACCUUAAGGAAAGGAUUUCUUGGAAAUUUGAAGGACGGAGUGGUAGACUAUUAUCACAAGGGGUAAAGGAUAUCUUCAUCAAAUCAGUUCUUCAAGCAAUACCUACCUAUGCUAUGUCUUGUUUCUUCCUACGAAAUUCAUUGUGCGGAGAAAUUGAAAUGAUUUUCGCGAAAUUCUGGUGGCAAAAAGGGUAUGGAAAGAGAGGUAUUCAUUGGUGCCAGUGGAAGCACAUGUGUCACCCUAAGGAAGAAUAUGGAAUGGGCUUAAGGAAUAUGUCUCAAUUUAAUAUAGCGCUUUUAGCAAAACAAGGGUGAAGGCUUAUAACCAAUCCAGAUUCUUUAGUUACGAGAGUUUUUAAAGCGAAGUACUUCCCGAAUGAGGAUUUUUUAAAUUCAUGUUUGGGGAAUAAAAACUCGUAUGUUUGGAAAAAUAUAUGGGCGACUAAGGGUAUCUUGGCAAAAGGUCUUUGUUGGAAGGUGGGUACGGGAUUGAACUUCUCUAUUGCCAACGAUGCAUGGAUUCCAGGUGCAAUUAAUUUUAGAUUAUCCUCGGUUCCUUUUACUAUGACAGAUUUUAAAGUUGCUGAUUUGAUUAAUAGUGCUGAACGUAAAUGGAAAGGAGAGUUAAUUGUUGAUACCUUUGGGGAAGAAGUAGCAGGAUCCUUCGUAUCCCUCUGGCGAGAGAGCCUCACGAUGAUUUCAUGGUGUGUAGUGGUGAGCCGUCGGGAGAAUUUUCAGUGCGGAGCGCCUACAAACUAUUACAGACUUCGGAUCCUAGAGCUUAUGCUUUACAAAACAUCUAUAGGGAUUUUUACAAAAAAAUAUGGCUCCUAAAACUACCUACAAAAAUAAAAAUUACAAUCUGGAAACUUUCAUGAAAUUAUUUGCCAACUCGAGUGAACAUGCAGCACAGGAAGUUAGUGUCCAACUCAGUUUGUCCCCGUUGUAAUGCAGGAGCCGAGACCAUGGAUCAUAUUUUUAGAAAAUGCCCUAUUUCAGUUUCAGUAUGGAGUGUAUUAGAAAUCCCAAAUAUUCUACAGGAUACAGAUUUAGAGUUCAUACAGUGGGUCACCUGGAUUUUUACCCAUUACUCUCCUCCUCAAAGUAGACGAAUCGGUUGUGCGUUAUGAGCCAUCUGGGGAGACAGAAAUACUCGAAUCCAUGAUAAAGUCAGUAGAAAUGGUCAGGAUAUAGCAGCCUUUGUAAAAAACUAUAUUAAAGAACUUGAUGGGGUCGAAUCAAGAAACUCAAAAUACUGGAAGGAGGUUGAGAAAUGGAAACACCCACCGGGACAAGCGGUAAAAAUCAACUUUGAUGGAGCAUAUGAUGCGAGACUCUUCCAAUCGGCUUCAGGGAUUGGGGUUAGAAACAGAGAAGGAGAUGUUCUCCUUUCUUGCUCGAAAAUUCAUCAAGAAGUCCCCUCCACUUUCGCUGCGGAAGCGAUCGCUUGCAGGAAAGCAACCCAUAUAGGAAUCAAAAUGAAAAGGUCAGACAUUAUCAUUGAAGGAGAUUCACUAUCGGUUAUUAAAAAAUGCAAGAUGGAAAGACACGAAAAAUCACAGAUCGGGGCAUUUAUUCAUGAUAUUAAGCAGGAAACAUCUAGAUCAAAGCAUCUCAGAUUCGAACAUACUCCAAGAUCAGCAAAUGGCCUAGCACAUAUACUAGCAACAGAAACUUUGAAGACGCAAGAAGAGAUAUACCUUGUUGAAGGAGUUCCUCGAUUUGCAGAACUGCAGAAGGUUAUUGACAGUGAACGAGAACCAGAUUGAAGAUAAGAGAAGAUGAAUGGGACAAGGGGAAAUGUUUUUCAAAAUGAACAGAUGAAACGUCUUUUGGUGAUUAAAACCCCCUCAUAAAUGAAAUGCCUUGAGAAAUGGAGAUGACAGAUAGAUGAAGUGACAGGCAUCAGGAUUUUCUGAUUAGGCAUAUCUUUGGUUGAAAAUAGCUGUUCGUCUAGAGUUUUCUAUCUUCUUAGACUUUAUUCGGGCCUAGUUACACUUGGGCCUUUUUCCAUGUUUUUUUGUUUUUACUUUUUUUUGGACUGACUUGUUUUUCUUUUAUUUUGUGAUUAUAGAAGCCCAAUCUGAAUUUUAAUCACAAA